Molecule: ribosomal RNA, 616 nt
Filed under: uncultured Legionella sp.
Lineage: Bacteria; Pseudomonadati; Pseudomonadota; Gammaproteobacteria; Legionellales; Legionellaceae
Description: bacterial SSU rRNA
Rfam family: Bacterial small subunit ribosomal RNA
Source: RNAcentral
UAGCUAGUUGGUGGGGUAAGGGCCUACCAAGGCGACGAUCGGUAGCUGGUCUGAGAGGAUGGCCAGCCACACUGGAACUGAGACACGGUCCAGACUCCUACGGGAGGCAGCAGUGGGGAAUAUUGGACAAUGGGGGCAACCCUGAUCCAGCAAUGCCGCGUGUGUGAAGAAGGCCUGAGGGUUGUAAAGCACUUUCAGUGGGGAGGAGGGUUGAUAGGUUAAGAGCUAAUUAACUGGACGUUACCCACAGAAGAAGCACUGGCUAACUCCGUGCCAGCAGCCGCGGUAAUACGGAGGGUGCGAGCGUUAAUCGGAAUUACUGGGCGUAAAGGGUGCGUAGGUGGUUGAUUAAGUUAUCUGUGAAAUUCCUGGGCUUAACCUGGGACGGUCAGAUAAUACUGGUUGACUCGAGUAUGGGAGAGGGUAGUGGAAUUUCCGGUGUAGCGGUGAAAUGCGUAGAGAUCGGAAGGAACACCAGUGGCGAAGGCGGCUACCUGGCCUAAUACUGACACUGAGGCACGAAAGCGUGGGGAGCAAACAGGAUUAGAUACCCUGGUAGUCCACGCUGUAAACGAUGUCAACUAGCUGUUGGUUAUAUGAAAAUAAUUAGUGGCGC